UUGGACCUCCACCGUCAUUUCAAUGGCAC
Molecule: non-coding RNA, 29 nt
Filed under: Rattus norvegicus (Norway rat)
Lineage: Eukaryota; Metazoa; Chordata; Mammalia; Rodentia; Muridae
Source: RNAcentral